GAGGAUAUAGCUCAAGUGGUAGAGCACAGGCUCAGCAUGCAUGAGGUCCUGGGUUCAAUCCCCAGUACCUGCA
This 73-nucleotide transfer RNA is filed under the name Camelus bactrianus (Bactrian camel). It matches the Rfam family "tRNA". From Rfam's summary of the family: Transfer RNA (tRNA) molecules are approximately 80 nucleotides in length. Their secondary structure includes four short double-helical elements and three loops (D, anti-codon, and T loops). RNAcentral also lists the same sequence under 2 other names. The record is from Rfam by way of RNAcentral. Lineage: Eukaryota; Metazoa; Chordata; Mammalia; Artiodactyla; Camelidae.